CAACUUUCAACAAGCGAUCUCUUGGCUCUCGCAUCGAUGAAGAACGCAGCGAAAUGCGAUAAGUAAUGUGAAUUGCAGAAUUCAGUGAAUCAUCGAAUCUUUGAACGCACCUUGCGCUCCUUGGUAUUCCGAGGAGCAUGCCUGUUUGAGUGUCAUUA
Molecule: ribosomal RNA, 158 nt
Filed under: Pluteus sp. PDD 107524
Lineage: Eukaryota; Fungi; Basidiomycota; Agaricomycetes; Agaricales; Pluteaceae
Description: 5.8S ribosomal RNA
Rfam family: 5.8S ribosomal RNA
About the family: 5.8S ribosomal RNA (5.8S rRNA) is a component of the large subunit of the eukaryotic ribosome. It is transcribed by RNA polymerase I as part of the 45S precursor that also contains 18S and 28S rRNA. Functionally, it is thought that 5.8S rRNA may be involved in ribosome translocation.
Source: RNAcentral